This 500-nucleotide ribosomal RNA is filed under the name uncultured prokaryote. RNAcentral's name for it is "partial 16S ribosomal RNA". The record is from RNAcentral.
CCCUAUGGGGUGCACCAGGGACUACCUGUAUUGGUUAAAUAUCGAAUACGGGAACGAUUUCGGUGACGUGUGGAAAACGAUCGGAACGUGGUCGACACAUGACAAUCUUGGUUCGAUCACCGUUCACCCCAGUAUCAAUCAAUCCAUUGAAGUCGAAAUCCAGGUAGGAUGGAGUGAAGUCGUCGUUGCUGUUCUCAAUAUCAAAAAGAAGAUUGAGAUCAAUCAAACAUUGGAUAUCACCAUCCCCGGCUGUAAAGAAACCGCUACCGAAAAAUGGAAAUGGCUCGGUGACUACAUUGGCGAUAAUUCCUGGGUUGACGAGUAUAAUGAGGACAGAUCGACAUUCUUACAUCAUUACAACAUUGUGCCAGGAUACUAUAAUUACUCACCGUUCUUUGGAUCUUUAGAAACAACGACUUGCAGCCAUGGUGUGUGCAAAACUCCGGAACCUGGGUCGCUGUUCUUGUUUGUCGUUGGUGUGAUUGGCGUGGCGGGGGGGC